RNAcentral lists this transfer RNA (72 nucleotides) under Stegodyphus mimosarum. It matches the Rfam family "tRNA". From Rfam's summary of the family: Transfer RNA (tRNA) molecules are approximately 80 nucleotides in length. Their secondary structure includes four short double-helical elements and three loops (D, anti-codon, and T loops). Further hydrogen bonds mediate the characteristic L-shaped molecular structure. tRNAs have two regions of fundamental functional importance: the anti-codon, which is responsible for specific mRNA codon recognition, and the 3' end, to which the tRNAs corresponding amino acid is attached (by aminoacyl-tRNA synthetases). tRNAs cope with the degeneracy of the genetic code in two manners: having more than one tRNA (with a specific anti-codon) for a particular amino acid; and 'wobble' base-pairing, i.e. permitting non-standard base-pairing at the 3rd anti-codon position. Lineage: Eukaryota; Metazoa; Arthropoda; Arachnida; Araneae; Eresidae. The record is from Rfam by way of RNAcentral.
GCCCUCGUGGUGUAACGAUUAGCAUACUCCGCUCGUAUUCGAGAGGUCCAGGUUCGAGUCCCGGAGAAGGCA